AAAAAAAAUAAAACAAAAAUGGCAUCAAAUUCUACAGAGCCUACAGCUUCAAAAAUUGUUGCUAAGCUAAACUUGAAGGUACAUCCAGAAGGGGGAUUUUACUCAGAAACAUUUAGAGAUAACUCAGUUAUUCUCUCCAGAUCUCAUCUUCCAUCUACAUAUAAGGUUGAUCGACCUGUCAGUACAUGCAUCUACUUCUUGCUACCUUCUGGAAGUGCGUCUCAUCUUCACCGGAUACCUUGUGCAGAAACAUGGCAUUUUUAUAUGGGAGAGCCAAUCACUGUGAUGGAGCUAAACGAAACUGAUGGCAAGGUGAAGUUAACUUGCGUUGGACCCGAUCCCCUCGUAGAUGAUCAAUUCGUGCAGUAUACAGUACCUCCAAAUGUAUGGUUUGGCGCAUUUCCCACGAAGGAUUACAACAUAUCUUCCGAUAUGCAAGUAACGAAAGCACCUACAAGAGAUGGUGAGAAACAUUUCUCUCUAGUUGGAUGCACUUGUGCUCCAGCAUUCCAGUUUGAAGAUUUUGAAUUAGCAAAACGUUCUGAUCUUGUCUCGCGUUUUCCUGCCCACGAAUCCCUUGUCUCUUUGCUAGCCUUCCCUGAUCUGUGAGAGAUAUGUAUUCAAUGGCGGAUCUAGAGCAUAAUCUACGGGUUUUACAUAACCUAGUAGCUUUUUCGCGGACCUUGUAAAAUAUCUAUAUAUAUUUGAUUCUUGUUUCCUGUUUCAUCUUAUUACUUGUGUGUUAUGUGUUCAGAGUGGCAAUAAAAGGCAA
RNAcentral lists this unclassified non-coding RNA (772 nucleotides) under Hevea brasiliensis (rubber tree). Lineage: Eukaryota; Viridiplantae; Streptophyta; Magnoliopsida; Malpighiales; Euphorbiaceae. The record is from RNAcentral.